Molecule: transfer RNA, 72 nt
Filed under: Rathayibacter tritici
Lineage: Bacteria; Bacillati; Actinomycetota; Actinomycetes; Micrococcales; Microbacteriaceae
Description: tRNA-Ala
Rfam family: tRNA
About the family: Transfer RNA (tRNA) molecules are approximately 80 nucleotides in length. Their secondary structure includes four short double-helical elements and three loops (D, anti-codon, and T loops).
Source: RNAcentral
GGGGCCUUAGCUCAGUUGGUAGAGCGCCUGCUUUGCAAGCAGGAUGUCAGGAGUUCGAAUCUCCUAGGCUCC